AGAUACCUACGGGACGCAGCAGUGAGGAAUAUUGGUCAAUGGGCUAAGGCCUGAACCAGCCAAGUCGCGUGAGGGAAGACGGUCCUAUGGAUUGUAAACCUCUUUUGUAUGGGGGGAAUAAGCUUUACGAGUAGAGUGAUGACAGUACCAUACGAAUAAGCAUCGGCUAACUCCGUGCCAGCAGCCGCGGUAAUACGGAGGAUGCGAGCGUUAUCCGGAUUUAUUGGGUUUAAAGGGUGCGUAGGCGGCAUUAUAAGUUAGUGGUAAAAUAUUGGGGCUUCACCUCACUACGCCAUUAA
This 299-nucleotide ribosomal RNA is filed under the name uncultured bacterium. RNAcentral describes it as "partial 16S ribosomal RNA". It matches the Rfam family "Bacterial small subunit ribosomal RNA", at positions 333 to 630 of the family's 1533-position model. The record is from RNAcentral.